GGUUAAGUGACUAAGCGUACACGGUGGAUGCCUUGGCAGUCAGAGGCGAUGAAGGACGUAGUAACUUGCGAUAAGCUCAGAUUAGGCAGUAACAGCCACUUGAGUCUGAGAUUUCCGAAUGGGGAAACCCAACUGCAUAAGCAGUUACUGUUAACUGAAUACAUAGGUUAACAGGGCGAACCGGGGGAACUGAAACAUCUAAGUACCCCGAGGAGAAGAAAUCAACCGAGAUUCCGAUAGUAGCGGCGAGCGAAAUUGGAUUAGCCCUUAAGCUUUACAUGCGUCAGGUGAAGGUUCUGGAAAGGACCGCGAAACAGGGUGAUAGCCCCGUAGCCGACAGCGCAUGUUCAGUGAAAUCGAGUAGGGCGGGACACGUGUUAUCCUGUCUGAAUAUGGGGGGACCAUCCUCCAAGGCUAAAUACUCCUGACUGACCGAUAGUGAACCAGUACCGUGAGGGAAAGGCGAAAAGAACCCCUGUGAGGGGAGUGAAAUAGAACCUGAAACCGUGUACGUACAAGCAGUAGGAGCCUCCUUUGUGGGGUGACUGCGUACCUUUUGUAUAAUGGGUCAGCGACUUAUAUUCAGUGGCAAGGUUAACCAUUUAGGGGAGCCGUAGGGAAACCGAGUCUUAACUGGGCGUUCAGUCUCUGGAUAUAGACCCGAAACCGGGUGAUCUAGCCAUGGGCAGGUUGAAGGUUGAGUAACAUCAACUGGAGGACCGAACCGACUAAUGUUGAAAAAUUAGCGGAUGACUUGUGGCUAGGGGUGAAAGGCCAAUCAAACUCGGAGAUAGCUGGUUCUCCCCGAAAGCUAUUUAGGUAGCGCCUCGGACGAAUACUACUGGGGGUAGAGCACUGUUAAGGCUAGGGGGUCAUCCCGACUUACCAACCCUUUGCAAACUCCGAAUACCAGUAAGUACUAUCCGGGAGACACACGGCGGGUGCUAACGUCCGUCGUGGAGAGGGAAACAACCCAGACCGCCAGCUAAGGUCCCAAAUUACAGCUAAGUGGGAAACGAUGUGGGAAGGCUCAGACAGCUAGGAUGUUGGCUUAGAAGCAGCCAUCAUUUAAAGAAAGCGUAAUAGCUCACUAGUCGAGUCGGCCUGCGCGGAAGAUGUAACGGGGCUAAGCUGUAAACCGAAGCUGCGGCAAUGCGAUUUAUCGUAUUGGGUAGGGGAGCGUUCUGUAAGCCGUUGAAGGUGUGUUGUAAAGCAUGCUGGAGGUAUCAGAAGUGCGAAUGCUGACAUGAGUAACGACAAGGGGGGUGAAAAACCUCCCCGCCGGAAGACCAAGGGUUCCUGUCCAACGUUAAUCGGGGCAGGGUAAGUCGACCCCUAAGGCGAGGCCGAAAGGCGUAGUCGAUGGGAAACGGGUUAAUAUUCCCGUACUUCUUACAAUUGCGAUGGGGGGACGGAGAAGGCUAGGUGGGCCUGGCGACGGUUGUCCAGGUUCAAGUGCGUAGGCUUGAGG
This 1471-nucleotide ribosomal RNA is filed under the name Vibrio fluvialis. RNAcentral describes it as "partial 23S ribosomal RNA". It matches the Rfam family "Bacterial large subunit ribosomal RNA", at positions 1 to 1531 of the family's 2925-position model. Lineage: Bacteria; Pseudomonadati; Pseudomonadota; Gammaproteobacteria; Vibrionales; Vibrionaceae. The record is from RNAcentral.